CGGCUCUAGCAAGAACAAAGGGAGAAAAGAAAGAACAAACCCUAGGUGGAGAAUUUCAAGAGCAAAAGUGUGGAAAAUCAAGGAAAACAAGUGAAAAAGGUAGGAUUUCUCAAUUUAAACUUGAAAUCUAUUUUCCUUAAGCAUUUCUCCUUAUUUUCCAUGGUUAAAUUUCAUGUUUUGAUGGUGAAUUCAAGGCUAGCCGAAUGGGUAUGGAGAGAGAAUGAUAUUAGAUUGAUUUGAUUUCAAGUUAUGUUAGUGUUUUUAGCUAGUUUACCAUGUCUAGAAGCAAAACAACAAGAAAAGAAUUCAUUUUCCCCAUCACCCAUCAAUGGCUGAACCUACCUUGUAUUGAGUGAGGAUGAAUUUGAUUUUUUAUUUUAAGAGAAUUGGUUAGAAAAUGAUGAAUUAUGGUGUGGAAAAGUAGUAGGAAAAAUCACGGUGUUAAUGCACCAUUAUUGAUCGAAAAUACUAAGAAGAAAAGUGAAGAUGGUUUUGCCAAAUUUUAGGUUAUUUGACUUGUGUUUGGUGAAUUAAGGUAUUGGAAAAGAAAUGGAGCAAUUUGGAGCUAAAUUGGACGCAUUGGCCAAUUAAUCGGGUGAUAAGACGAAUUAGGCCAAUACCGAGUUUAAAUGGUUACCCGUGCAUUUUGCAUUCCAUAUCAUGCAUUAGCAGUCUAAAUUAGUUUAAUUUCGAUUUAGUACCAAUGUAGUAAGUUUCUUGAUUUUGUACUAUGUCAAGGUGGUGAGUCCUCCGAUAAAGGGAAGAAAUUGCAUCCGAAGACCAGUAGUUAGAGUACUUCGAAAAUUCGCACUCUAGAUAUUAUGAGUAACCUUACUAUCGUCUUAAUUAUCUAGAGUGGUUUUUAUCCGAUUUUGUGAUUUUAUGGAAAAUGAGUUUAAUGGUAAAUUUUUAGAAUUUAGAAACAAAAUGUGUUUAAAUAAAAUGAUUUCAUAAAUGGCCUUGAAAUUGAAAGAUGACUUUGAAACUAGAGUAAUUAGAAACCAUUUGAUGUAUUUUGAAUUUAUGGUUCUAAUUGAUUGGCUUAUGACAAUAUUGUCAUGAAUGGUUGAAUUGGUAUUUGUGUUGAAAUGUAUAAACUAUUGUUUGCCUUGAUAGGCUGGAUAAUGAUAAAAUUGCCAUGUCAUUCUGUUGAAUUUUUAUUAUAUGGUGGGUUUAGCUUGCUACAGUGAGCUAGUUUUGUGGACUAGCCUAUUAGAGGGGUACGGAACCUGGUCAUAUUCUUACCUCGGUUGGAGAGGCGAGUAGGGUAACUUCCGAGGUAUAACUUUUAGAGUUCACUUCACGUCAAAUCACCACGUGAGGGGAAACUCAGCCAACGCCAAGGAACGACUAUGUUGUCAAAAUAAAAACAUGAUUUAUGCGUACAUAACUUUUUUAUAGCCUUGGCGGACUCGGUUGGAUAGUCCUCGAUCAAGGCAUCCUUGAUAACUGGGUAUAAAAAUGAUUUUGGCACGAGCCAAAGUUUUAAGAAAUUCAUAAGCCAUGUUGAUUACUCGAUUUAUAUGAAUUGAUUUUAUUUGGUUGAAACAAGUUGAAAGGUGAAGAAUUACAGUAUGUUAAACUAUUUUAUCUGUCUUCAUUUACCCAGUUUUAGAUAUUUUAGAUGGUAUUUGUUUACUCACUGGGAUUUUAUAAUUUCACCACCCUCAUUUCCACUUAUUUCAGGCUCAAGAUAGUCUAUAGAUAGCUGAUUUCAUCGAGGACCACCAUUGGAUUUGCAUUUUCCAAACUGUAGGUUCACAAUUUUUCUUACUUUUGGUUAUUCGAGGGCCCACUUGUUACUGUAAAUUAAAUUAAAUACUCUGGCUUACUGUAUUAUGAUAUAUAUGAAUUUAUUUUGCUUUUAUGAUGUAAAAAUUAUUUAUGCAGUGUUCUAAAAAUAUUAUUUUAUGAGAAAAUUGAAUAUUUUAUUCAAUAUUUUUAUUUUAUUCUAAUAGUCAUAAUUUCAUUUUAAACGAAU
Molecule: long non-coding RNA, 1981 nt
Filed under: Theobroma cacao (cacao)
Lineage: Eukaryota; Viridiplantae; Streptophyta; Magnoliopsida; Malvales; Malvaceae
Description: long non-coding RNA (TCAC_LNC003914)
Source: RNAcentral